This 660-nucleotide ribosomal RNA is filed under the name Rhodococcus qingshengii. RNAcentral describes it as "bacterial SSU rRNA". It matches the Rfam family "Bacterial small subunit ribosomal RNA", at positions 198 to 873 of the family's 1533-position model. Lineage: Bacteria; Bacillati; Actinomycetota; Actinomycetes; Mycobacteriales; Nocardiaceae. The record is from RNAcentral.
GGUGGAAAGAUUUAUCGGUGCAGGAUGGGCCCGCGGCCUAUCAGCUUGUUGGUGGGGUAAUGGCCUACCAAGGCGACGACGGGUAGCCGACCUGAGAGGGUGACCGGCCACACUGGGACUGAGACACGGCCCAGACUCCUACGGGAGGCAGCAGUGGGGAAUAUUGCACAAUGGGCGAAAGCCUGAUGCAGCGACGCCGCGUGAGGGAUGACGGCCUUCGGGUUGUAAACCUCUUUCAGCAGGGACGAAGCGCAAGUGACGGUACCUGCAGAAGAAGCACCGGCUAACUACGUGCCAGCAGCCGCGGUAAUACGUAGGGUGCAAGCGUUGUCCGGAAUUACUGGGCGUAAAGAGUUCGUAGGCGGUUUGUCGCGUCGUUUGUGAAAACCAGCAGCUCAACUGCUGGCUUGCAGGCGAUACGGGCAGACUUGAGUACUGCAGGGGAGACUGGAAUUCCUGGUGUAGCGGUGAAAUGCGCAGAUAUCAGGAGGAACACCGGUGGCGAAGGCGGGUCUCUGGGCAGUAACUGACGCUGAGGAACGAAAGCGUGGGUAGCGAACAGGAUUAGAUACCCUGGUAGUCCACGCCGUANACGGUGGGCGCUAGGUGUGGGUUCCUUCCACGGAAUCCGUGCCGUAGCUACGCAUUAAGCGCCCCGCC